UACGAACUGUGCAAACGUUAUUCGGAAUCACUGGGCUUAAAGGGCGCGUAGGCGGCCUGUUAAGUCGAACGUGAAAUCCCCGGGCUCAACCCGGGAACUGCGUCCGAUACUGGCAGGCUUGAAUCCGGGAGAGGGAUGCGGAAUUCCAGGUGUAGCGGUGAAAUGCGUAGAUAUCUGGAGGAACACCGGUGGCGAAGGCGGCAUCCUGGACCGGCAUUGACGCUGAGGCGCGAAAGCCAGGGGAGCAAACGGG
RNAcentral lists this ribosomal RNA (253 nucleotides) under uncultured bacterium. Its description in RNAcentral is "partial 16S ribosomal RNA". It matches the Rfam family "Bacterial small subunit ribosomal RNA", at positions 524 to 776 of the family's 1533-position model. The record is from RNAcentral.